This 231-nucleotide long non-coding RNA is filed under the name Mytilus galloprovincialis (Mediterranean mussel). Lineage: Eukaryota; Metazoa; Mollusca; Bivalvia; Mytilida; Mytilidae. The record is from RNAcentral.
UGAAAUUGAAAACUUAUUCCUAUAGAGUAAACGUCCUUUGUAUUCAACAGCCAAAUCAAAAGUGAGAAGCUGGCAGCCUGCAAUUGUAACCUGAGAACCUAAUCCCUGAUAUCAGACAGACCAAAUUAGGCAUGACCUUUGACCUUACAAUGGAAUCAACUGCCCCAUUUCAUGGAAGAAACCAUUCCAUCUGAAUAAACAACACUUAUACUCUCUGCAUAAGUUUUAAUU